CUCCUCGAUUCCCAGGGGAUCCCCCCUCGAUUCCGGCUGGAUCCCCCUCGAUUCCAGCUGGAUCCCCCCCUUUUUUCCCCAGGGGAUCCCCUCUAUUCCCGCUCAAUCCCGAGGGAUCCCCCGGGGUCGAUCCCAGCUGGAUCCCCACUCACACACACAGAUCCCCGCUCCUGGUGCCGGUCCCGGCGGAUUCCAGGGGGAUCCCGGUGGAUCCGGCCAGAUCCCCACUCACAAGGAUCCCCGAUCUCGCCACCCGUCCCGCCAGAUCCCGGCUGAUCCCGGCGGGAUCCCAGCAGGAUCCCCCCUCGCAGGGCCCCCAGUUCUUGUUGCCAGUCCCGGUGGAUCCCGGUGGAUCCCAGUGGAUCCGCUCUCGCCGUUGCUCCCAUCAGAUUCCAGCAGAUCCCAGCCAAUUCCCGCUGAUUCCAAGGGGAUCCCCGCAGAUCCAGCAGGAUCCCCUCUCGCAGGGACCCCAGUUCUUGUUGCCAGUGGAUCCCGGCAGAUCCCGGUGGAUCCAGCGGGAUCCCCUCUCGCAGGGACCCCAGUUCUUGUUGCCAGUCCCGGUGGAUCCCGGUGGAUCCCAGUGGAUCCGCUCUCGCCGUCGCUCCCAUCAGAUCCUGGCAGAUCCCAGCCCAUUCCCGCUGAUUCCAAGGGGAUCCCAGUGGAUCCGGCAGGAUCCCCACUGCCAGGGACCCCAGUUCUUGUUGCCAGUGGAUCCCGGUGGAUCCCCGGGACCGGCUCUCGCCCAUUGGAUCCUGGCAGAUCCCGGCCAAUUCCUGCUGAUUCCAAGGGGAUCCCGGAAGAUCCAGUGGGAUCCCCUCUCGCAGGGACCCCAGUUCUUGUUGCCAGUGGAUCCCAGCGGAUCCAGCAGGAUCCCCUCUCGCAGGGACCCCAGUUCUUGUUGCCGGUGGAUCCCGGUGGAUCCCGGUGGAUCCCGGUGGAUCCCCGGGACGGGCUCUCAGCGGGGCGGGCGGCCCAGCCUGCGGAAGACGCCACCGGAGCUGCUGCUGGACACGGCGCCGUCCUGCGCCGCCGGCCCGGCGCCCUCGCGGCGCCGCUUCAGCACGCCGGCGUACGGCAGCGCCUCGGGAUCCGCCGGAUCCCCCGGCCGAUCCCCCGGCGGAUCCCCCGGCGAGUCCCCCGGUGCCGCGCCCAGGCGGCUGAACACCCCCGAGGGCUGCGGGGACGCGGGUGCAGGGUGGAUCCCGGAUCCCCC
This 1213-nucleotide long non-coding RNA is filed under the name Lonchura striata (white-rumped munia). RNAcentral's name for it is "domestica (Bengalese finch) lncRNA (ENSLSDG00000003767.1)". Lineage: Eukaryota; Metazoa; Chordata; Aves; Passeriformes; Estrildidae. The record is from RNAcentral.